UACGGAGGGGACUAGCGUUGUUCGGAAUUACUGGGCGUAAAGCGCACGUAGGCGGAUUUGUAAGUCAGGGGUGAAAUCCCGGGGCUCAACCUCGGAACUGCCUUUGAUACUGCAAAUCUCGAGUCCGGAAGAGGUGAGUGGAAUUCCUAGUGUAGAGGUGAAAUUCGUAGAUAUUAGGAAGAACACCAGUGGCGAAGGCGGCUCACUGGUCCGGUACUGACGCCGAGGAGCGAAAGCGUGGGUAGCAAACAGG
This 253-nucleotide ribosomal RNA is filed under the name uncultured bacterium. Its description in RNAcentral is "partial 16S ribosomal RNA". It matches the Rfam family "Bacterial small subunit ribosomal RNA", at positions 524 to 776 of the family's 1533-position model. The record is from RNAcentral.